This 75-nucleotide transfer RNA is filed under the name Chloroflexota bacterium. RNAcentral's name for it is "Chloroflexi bacterium (sediment metagenome) tRNA-Arg". It matches the Rfam family "tRNA". Rfam says of the family: Transfer RNA (tRNA) molecules are approximately 80 nucleotides in length. Lineage: Bacteria; Bacillati; Chloroflexota. The record is from RNAcentral.
GCCCCCGUAGCUCAGGGGAUAGAGCACUGGCCUCCGGAGCCAGGCGCGCAGGUUCGAGUCCUGCCGGGGGUACCG